GCGGUGGUAGUCUAGCUUGGUCUAGGACAGCGGCCUGCCACGCCGCGGGCCCGGGUUCAAAUCCCGGCCACCGCACCA
This 78-nucleotide transfer RNA is filed under the name Thermococcus sp. Its description in RNAcentral is "tRNA-Gly". It matches the Rfam family "tRNA". Rfam says of the family: Transfer RNA (tRNA) molecules are approximately 80 nucleotides in length. Their secondary structure includes four short double-helical elements and three loops (D, anti-codon, and T loops). The record is from RNAcentral. Lineage: Archaea; Methanobacteriati; Methanobacteriota; Thermococci; Thermococcales; Thermococcaceae. RNAcentral also lists the same sequence under 1 other name.